GGGUUUUUUCAAUGGGAUUUCAGUUAAAUCGCUUAAAUAAGGGGAUACUCUUCCCGAGGCCCUCAGACUAUGCAGAGUCACUGAUUCGAUCCAAGACUAACGACGAGAUGAUUCCAAGGUUUCCAUAUCCUGGACCAGGCCGUUUCCUGAGCAGUUACUGUGGUGGUCAUGGAGGAGUGGAGAGCAUGAGACUGAUUCCUGUGACGCUCCAGGGACAGACGAGUCUUCGCUGAGGCCAGCUUCCUGCCUCCACCGCUGAGACUGCAGCUCUGCACAAGACGUUUGGCCAGAGGAGAAAUUAAAAUGGUCAUGCCCAACUGAGUCUGGUUUCUCUCAAGGUUUUUUUUCUUCUUCACUUUCGCCAAUUGGUGAAGUUUUUUUCCGUCUUCGCUGUCGCCACUGGCUUGAAUGGUUCGGGAUUGGUAGAGCUACGCAUCGUUGAAUUUGCUCUUCACUGUUUGGACUCUCAGUAGUGAUUUUUAAACCACACUGAACUGAGCUAAACUGAACUGAACUUAAACACUACAAACUGAACUAAACUUUUCCAAUUUACUAUGAUCUUCUAUGUGAAGCUGCUUUGACACAAUCUACAUUGUAAAAGCGCUAUACAAAUAAAGGUAUAUUGAAUUGAAUUGAAUGUACAAAUAAAGUUUUCUGGAAACCUUUCUCAUAAGGAUCAUUCUUUUUUUCACUUGUUUUUUCUAUAGUAAGGGAGAUAACUGUAUUUCCCCUCUAAUUUUGUUAGGUUCGUUUAGUUUCAACUUGGGUUUAUUUGGUAGCUAUAUUUGUUUGCUAUUUUUAGUGGCUCCUCUCUGAGAUAUCGGCUUCUAUGUAAGACAAGAAAAGAAAAAAGAAGACAAGAAGAGUUUCCAGAAAUCUUUAUUUGUUUAUAUAGUUAAUUUAUGUUACUUCAUGGACCCCCAAAGCAGGGAUGUAAGAAUGUCUAUUAUUUCUUAUACAAUAUAUUGUUCCUAACUAUACAAAAUUGCUAAACCGUAGAGUUUAAUCUUAACAUCAAAAGUGAGUGCAGCAGAGAUUGAGGUAUUAUAACACAAUUUAAAUGCACGUAAAAAAACGAAACAUCUGAAAUUGUUAUAUUUUUGCACUGUGUUUAGCUGCCAGCAUUUACUGAGCAGAGUCUUAAAGUUUCUUAGCUUUUUUUUAUUUUUUAAAGAUGUCUUACAGCUGAUGUUCAUACAUGGGACAAAAGUUUGAUAUUACAUACAAUAUGAGGCAGUGAGAAUUGAGAUAUUUAAAAGCAAUCCCCCAAAAUUCCCCCA
This is a long non-coding RNA of Danio aesculapii, 1280 nucleotides long. RefSeq lists it as uncharacterized. The record is from RefSeq and is a predicted model, not a curated record. NCBI's taxonomy places the organism in Eukaryota, Metazoa, Chordata, Actinopteri, Cypriniformes, Danionidae. The transcript has 2 exons.